This 211-nucleotide long non-coding RNA is filed under the name Mytilus galloprovincialis (Mediterranean mussel). The record is from RNAcentral. Lineage: Eukaryota; Metazoa; Mollusca; Bivalvia; Mytilida; Mytilidae.
GUACUGCAUGAAUACAGAUUUUGCAAUAAAGUACCACAAUUUAAAGGACAAAAGUUUAUAGAAGUGUAUAUUUAUUGAUCACUAAUUUAGGACAGACUUCUUAUUGCUGUUUGCCACAAACCCUACCAACCAGUCUCAGGGUGUGGGACAUUUUCAUUAUUAUUGAUUUUUUUUUAUAUAUAUAUAUAUAUUAAGGGAAAAAAGGGGUCCA